CUCAAGCUUUAUUGAGUUUGGUAAGAACUAAGAGAACAUUAUGGCUAAGGACAUUGAGGUUGGUGGUGGUGAGUUCCAGGCAAAGGACUACCAUGAUCCUCUACCGGCUCCAUUGGUCAAUGCCCAGGAGUUAACAAAGUGGUCAUUUUAUAGAGCUGUAAUAGCCGAGUUUAUUGCCACUCUCCUGUUCUUGUACAUCACAUAUUGACAGUCAUCGGCUACAAGACACAGACCGACCCUGCUAAGGGCGGUGAAGAUUGUGGCGGCGUUGGCAUUCUCGGCAUCACUUGGGCUUUUGGUGGCAUGAUCUUUAUCCUUGUUUACUGCACUGCCGGUUAUCUCGGGGGGACACAUCAACCCAGCAGUGACUUUUGAACUUUUCUUGGCGAGGAAGGUAUCGUUGGUUCGAGUCAUAUUACAUGGCUGCUCAAUGUUUAGGAGCCCAUAUGUGGAUGUGGGCUAGUUAAGGCAUUCCAAAAGACAUACUACAACCAUAUGCAGGAGGAGCCAACAGCUUCGCCGAUGGAUACAGCACCGGAAACGUUUGGGCGCCUAAAUUAUCGACACCUUUGUUCUCGUCUACACUGUUUUCUCUGCAACUGAUCCCAAGAGGAAUGCAAGAGACUCCCAUAUCCCUGUCUUGGCACCACUUCCCAUUGGGUUUGCCGUGUCAUGGUUCACUUGGCCACAAUUUCGAUUACCGUCACCGGUAUCAACCCUGCCCGUAGUUUUAGAGCUGCUGUUAUCUUCAACCAGGAAAAGAUAUGGAUGACCAUUGGAUUUUCUGGGUUGGACCUUUCAUUGGAGCUGCCAUUGCUGCAAUCUAUCACCAGUUUAUCCUAAGGGCAUCUGCUGCUAAAGCUAUGGGAUCCUUCAGGAGCAGGUCUGCCAU
Hibiscus syriacus is the source of this 892-nucleotide long non-coding RNA. RefSeq lists it as uncharacterized. The transcript is spliced from 6 exons. Lineage: Eukaryota; Viridiplantae; Streptophyta; Magnoliopsida; Malvales; Malvaceae. The record is from RefSeq and is a predicted model, not a curated record.